UGGGGAAUCUUGGACAAUGGGCGCAAGCCUGAUCCAGCCAUGCCGCGUGGAUGAUGAAGGCCUUAGGGUUGUAAAAUCCUUUCGUGGGGGACGAUAAUGACGGUACCCCAAGAAGAAGCUCCGGCUAACUUCGUGCCAGCAGCCGCGGUAAUACGAAGGGGGCUAGCGUUGUUCGGAAUUACUGGGCGUAAAGCGUACGUAGGCGGUGACUCAAGUCAGAGGUGAAAGCCUGGAGCUCAACUCCAGAACUGCCUUUGAAACUAGGUCGCUAGAAUCACGGAGAGGUGAGUGGAAUUCCGAGUGUAGAGAUGAAAUUCGUAGAUAUUCGGAAGAACACCAGUGGCGAAGGCGGCUCACUGGACGUGUAUUGACGCUGAGGUACGAAAGCGUGGGGAGCAAACAGGAUUAGAUACCCUUGUAGUCCCUGAGCGGGCUGGCAAGGCGCAU
This 447-nucleotide ribosomal RNA is filed under the name uncultured bacterium. RNAcentral's name for it is "bacterial SSU rRNA". It matches the Rfam family "Bacterial small subunit ribosomal RNA", at positions 355 to 825 of the family's 1533-position model. The record is from RNAcentral.